Molecule: long non-coding RNA, 719 nt
Organism: Solenopsis invicta (red fire ant)
Lineage: Eukaryota; Metazoa; Arthropoda; Insecta; Hymenoptera; Formicidae
Exons: 3
Source: RefSeq, a predicted model, not a curated record
CGUGUACCUGAAAAUACAUUUAUGGAUAUACUGCCAUGGAUAGAAUCCGAUCUUUGCGAUAGCUCGAACGUCGCGCAUAAUAGGAAUUCUAUUUCAAGAGACAUUAAAGUUUACACAUUUAUACGAAGAUUAUUUUCUAAUUAAAUUAAUAACCAGCGAUGUGUCCGACGAUCUUAAUCAGAAUUAUUCUUAUUCACGUCAUCAACGAAAACGCCAACAUCUCUCUUGACAUCGCUUCAGAUAGAAGAAGGUCGAAAUGAUAUUCCAGUUACGUUACAAUUACAAUUUAAUACGGUCUUAUAACUGUUUUAAAUAAAUAAAUGUAUACCUCUUUGAAGCUAUGAGAAUCUCUGGCGCGCGGUACCACCGAGUGGCGACGUAGUCCGUCAAAGUUGGAUCACUUCCCGUCUCGCCGUCACCUUCGCCGAUCUGUGUAACUGAACGUGCCAGACCAAAGUCCGCGAUUUUGCAAUGGCAUUUUGCAUUCAGGAGCACGUUGGAUGGCUGCAACGAAAGAAUAACGCAAACUCGACGUAACGAGACAAUGCAUUCCUUCCCCAAAUAAGGGAGCAAAUUAAAAGAUCAUAAGACUCGACAUUACCUUCAAGUCUCUGUGGAUAACGUUGCCUGAGUGUAUGUACUUGAUCGCCUUAAAAAGUUGGUACAUGAUGAAGACCUUGUGGAUAUCCUUGAGGAUGUUGCCCCGCUUAAUGACGUUG